GAUGAAGAACGUAGUGAAAUGCGAUAAGUAAUGUGAAUUGCAGAAUUCAGUGAAUCAUCGAAUCUUUGAACGCACCUUGCACCCUUUGGCAUUCCGAAGGGUAUGCUCGUUUGAGUGUCAUUGUACUCUCACACUCUCCGAUCCUAUGGAUUCGGGGAGCGGUGGACUUGGGUGUUGCUGCCUUUCCUUGUGGCUCACCUCAAAUGUGUCAGUGCACCUCUUGGUUGGACAUAGUACGGCGUGAUAAGUGUCUUCGCCGGCACCUCGCAAGAGGGUGGCCGAUCGGGAGCUCUGUGCUUUCAAACCGUCUUCGGACAAUUUCUGACAACUUGACCUCAAAUCGAGUAGGACUACCCGCUGAACUUAAGCAUAUCAAUAAGCGGAGGA
RNAcentral lists this unclassified non-coding RNA (387 nucleotides) under soil metagenome. RNAcentral describes it as "partial contains 5.8S ribosomal RNA, internal transcribed spacer 2, and large subunit ribosomal RNA". The stretch from base 1 to 120 matches the Rfam family "5.8S ribosomal RNA", at positions 35 to 154 of the family's 154-position model. The record is from RNAcentral.